This 468-nucleotide ribosomal RNA is filed under the name uncultured bacterium. RNAcentral's name for it is "partial 16S ribosomal RNA". It matches the Rfam family "Bacterial small subunit ribosomal RNA", at positions 28 to 507 of the family's 1533-position model. The record is from RNAcentral.
GACGAACGCUGGCGGCGUGCUUAACACAUGCAAGUCGAACGGAAAGGCCCUGCUUUUGUGGGGUGCUCGAGUGGCGAACGGGUGAGUAACACGUGAGUAACCUGCCCUUGACUUUGUGAUAACUUCAGGAAACUGGGGCUAAUACCGGAUAGGAGCUCCUGCUGCAUGGUGGUGGUUGGAAAGUUUCGGCGGUUGGGGAUGGAUUCGCGGCUUAUCAGCUUGUUGGUGGGGUAGUGGCUUACCAAGGCUUUGACGGGUAGCCGGCCUGAGAGGGUGACCGGGCACAUUGGGACUGAGAUACGGCCCAGAAUCGUACGGGAGGCAGCAGUGGGGAAUAUUGCACAAUGGGCGGAAGCCUGAUGCAGCAACGCCGCGUGCGGGAUGACGGCCUUCGGGUUGUAAACCGCUGUCGCCUGUGACGAAGCGUGAGUGACGGUAAUGGGUAAAGAAGCACCGGCUAACUACGUG